RNAcentral lists this non-coding RNA (30 nucleotides) under Homo sapiens (human). Lineage: Eukaryota; Metazoa; Chordata; Mammalia; Primates; Hominidae. The record is from RNAcentral.
UGCCUGAGAAGAAGCGAGGGAAGCCCAUUC